GACAAACGCUGGCGGCAUGCCUAACACAUGCAAGUCGAACGGACAGAACAGGGAAGCUUUUCGGAGUGGAACUGGAAAGUUAGUGGCGGAUGGGUGAGUAACGCGUGGACAACCUACCUUGUAAAGGGGAAUAACCUCGAGAAAUCGAAGCUAAUACCCCAUAAUAACCUUGCUUCGCAUGAAGUAAGGAGGAAAGGCGGCCUUAGCGCUGUCGAUACAAGAUGGGUCCGUGUCUGAUUAGCUAGGUGGUGAGGUAAAGGCUCACCAAGGCGAGGAUCAGGAUCCGGACUGAGUGGGGGAACGGCCACAUUGGGACUUAGACACGGCCCAAACGCCUACGAGAGGCAGCAGUGGGGAAUCGUCCGCAAUGGGCGAGAGUCUGACGGAGCAAUGCCGCGUGAGUGAAGAAGGCCUUCGGGUUGUAAAACUCUGUCCUUAUCGAAGAGAGAGUGUUGUAGUAACUGACAAUACUAGGACGGUAGAUGAGGAGGAAGCCCCGGCUAACUAUGUG
RNAcentral lists this ribosomal RNA (511 nucleotides) under uncultured bacterium. RNAcentral describes it as "partial 16S ribosomal RNA". It matches the Rfam family "Bacterial small subunit ribosomal RNA", at positions 28 to 507 of the family's 1533-position model. The record is from RNAcentral.